AAUCCAUAGGUUAAUGAGGCGAACCGGGGGAACUGAAACAUCUAAGUACCCCGAGGAAAAGAAAUCAACCGAGAUUCCCCCAGUAGCGGCGAGCGAACGGGGAGGAGCCCAGAGCCUGAAUCAGCAUGUGUGUUAGUGGAAGCGUCUGGAAAGGCGCGCGAUACAGGGUGACAGCCCCGUACACAAAAGCGCACAUGCUGUGAGCUCGAUGAGUAGGGCGGGACACGUGGUAUCCUGUCUGAAUAUGGGGGGACCAUCCUCCAAGGCUAAAUACUCCUGACUGACCGAUAGUGAACCAGUACCGUGAGGGAAAGGCGAAAAGAACCCCGGCGAGGGGAGUGAAAAAGAACCUGAAACCGUGUACGUACAAGCAGUGGGAGCACCCUU
RNAcentral lists this ribosomal RNA (387 nucleotides) under Salmonella enterica subsp. enterica serovar Nottingham. RNAcentral describes it as "partial 23S ribosomal RNA". It matches the Rfam family "Bacterial large subunit ribosomal RNA", at positions 161 to 586 of the family's 2925-position model. The record is from RNAcentral. Lineage: Bacteria; Pseudomonadati; Pseudomonadota; Gammaproteobacteria; Enterobacterales; Enterobacteriaceae.